GUUCUCCUACGGGAGGCAGCAGUGGGGAAUAUUGCACAAUGGGGGGAACCCUGAUGCAGCGACGCCGCGUGAAGGAAGAAGUAUCUCGGUAUGUAAAGCUCUAUCAGCAGGGAAGAUAAUGACGGUACCUGACUAAGAAGCCCCGGCUAACUACGUGCCAGCAGCCGCGGUAAUACGUAGGGGGCAAGCGUUAUCCGGAUUUACUGGGUGUAAAGGGUGCGUAGGUGGCAGGGCAAGUCAGAUGUGAAAGCCCGGGGCCCAACCCCGGUACUGCAUUUGACACUGUCCUGCUGGAGUGCAGGAGG
RNAcentral lists this ribosomal RNA (305 nucleotides) under uncultured bacterium. Its description in RNAcentral is "bacterial SSU rRNA". It matches the Rfam family "Bacterial small subunit ribosomal RNA", at positions 333 to 655 of the family's 1533-position model. The record is from RNAcentral.